Molecule: long non-coding RNA, 766 nt
Organism: Poecilia latipinna (sailfin molly)
Lineage: Eukaryota; Metazoa; Chordata; Actinopteri; Cyprinodontiformes; Poeciliidae
Exons: 3
Source: RefSeq, a predicted model, not a curated record
CCAUCUUACUUAGACAGUGAAAGAAUCACACAUAAAUAACAGUCUUUGCCACCUUGUGUCGCAUAAUCUAAAUCAAUAUUAGGGAAUAAUUAAAAUGUUCUAAUUUUCCCUAAUAUAUCUCGGUUCGCCUUCAUAGCUGAACCUGGUAGCGCUGUAGCUAAUAUUAGCUGGCAUUUUGCCGGUGGACUUAAAUACAGUUUAGUUUAGUUUAGGGUUAGUAAUAUUUUAUUCACAAAAUAUAAACAGUCCAUCUUACUUGUGAAAACUUUAACCCCAGAAAUCUCACGACAAUAGUUCGUCGAUAUGAACAAAAAUAUCCGGUGGUGCUGAAGCUUCUGCUGCUGUUUUAGUUUAGCCAAGUAGGAGGGCGACCUCUCCAAGAUGGCCGCCGUUUCCUGCACCAGAGCAGCCAAUGCGGCGUCUACUCUUAUAUAGGUUAGCUUCGUUCCUUAUAUUAUGUCUAUGAUCAGUAGCACACAGCUGCUGUACUACGGAGCAGAAAGCUGACGUUGUUGUUUCUCUCUACAUCCAGUGGGUGGCGCAUGUCGCUACAAUUGAGAGUAGCCACACAGGCACCACCCCUUGAAGGAAACAAACACACCCAGUACAACACUUUCAUUCUAUUGGCUGAGAAGUUGCCAGGCAACUGUGCCAAAAAGCGUUUUCAAAAGCGAACAGAGAGUCUGAGCAGAGACUACGUGUGAGCACCAGGAGAGGUUUUGAGAACAAACGACAUGAGAUCCUGCUUUCAGACCGAAAAUGUGUG